This 45-nucleotide ribosomal RNA is filed under the name Pollicipes elegans. RNAcentral's name for it is "partial 18S ribosomal RNA". The record is from RNAcentral. Lineage: Eukaryota; Metazoa; Arthropoda; Thecostraca; Pollicipedomorpha; Pollicipedidae.
UGUUUUCCGUAGGUGAACCUGCGUAAGGAUCAUUCCCAGUCUUAU